CAGGUCUUGACAUCCUUUGCCACUUCUAGAGAUAGAAGGUUCCCCUUCGGGGGACAAAGUGACAGGUGGUGCAUGGUUGUCGUCAGCUCGUGUCGUGAGAUGUUGGGUUAAGUCCCGCAACGAGCGCAACCCUUGAUCUUAGUUGCCAGCAUUUAGUUGGGCACUCUAAGGUGACUGCCGGUGACAAACCGGAGGAAGGUGGGGAUGACGUCAAAUCAUCAUGCCCCUUAUGACCUGGGCUACACACGUGCUACAAUGGAUGGUACAAAGGGCUGCGAGACCGCGAGGUUUAGCCAAUCCCAUAAAACCAUUCUCAGUUCGGAUUGCAGGCUGCAACUCGCCUGCAUGAAGCUGGAAUCGCUAGUAAUCGCGGAUCAGCAUGCCGCGGUGAAUA
Molecule: ribosomal RNA, 394 nt
Filed under: uncultured Bacillus sp.
Lineage: Bacteria; Bacillati; Bacillota; Bacilli; Caryophanales; Bacillaceae
Description: bacterial SSU rRNA
Rfam family: Bacterial small subunit ribosomal RNA
Source: RNAcentral